UAACUCAUUUACUUGCUCGACGAGUAUAGUCAAAAUAUAGCAAAAUUUUUUCAAAGUUCCGUCAUGAGGACCAAUGCAAUAGAUAGAUUUCUAUGAAAUCUACUUUCAGUUCGACUGCCGAAUGGUCUUUUUCUUUCUAUGUUUUCCUUAUUUUUGUUAAACUUUUGAUUAUGCGUAGUCGUGAACUCUUGCAGCAAGGUUAUCAAUUGAUCGUGUACAUAUGAUUCUAUUUCCUCAAUAGAAUAUAUACUGAGCAGUUUGUAUAGGAAAAAUAACAAAUUUUCGAUUUAGUAUAAAUUAGAUAUAAAUCGAUUGCCCGAUUGUAAAUAUUUAUUGAUCAUUAAAAGAUUACACACGCUUAAUAUUAAAUCUUUAAUUGAGUUUGAUAAAAAAAAUGUCAUUUAAAGUUUUGUUAUUAUCAAUUAUCUUCAUAGUAUCAAUCUGUACUAACACAAUUCAAGCAUGCGAUGGAGAACGAUGCGAUCCUUAUGGUCAGGGUCAAUGUUGCUUUGGUUAUCUAUGUGACCUUGAUUCGAGGGAAUGCUCAUCAGUUUAUUUCUACGGCAACAAUAGUCCUUUUUUUGGGAAAUGAAAAAGUUAGAAAACCACUUUAGUCUAAACAAAAUUUCUGAAAUGACAUCGAUUGUAAUAUCAAUUGAAUUAACAUUAUAAAUCGCAGAAAUUAUUUCAAAACAAAGAAA
Molecule: long non-coding RNA, 701 nt
Organism: Cotesia glomerata
Lineage: Eukaryota; Metazoa; Arthropoda; Insecta; Hymenoptera; Braconidae
Exons: 4
Source: RefSeq, a predicted model, not a curated record